UACGGAGGGUGCAAGCGUUAUUCGGAUUUAUUGGGCGUAAAGAGCGUGUAGGCGGUUAUGUAAGUCAGAUGUGAAAGCCUUCUGCUCAACGGAAGAAGUACAUCUGAAACUGCAUAACUUGAGUACGGGAGAGGAAAGUGGAAUUCCCAGUGUAGAGGUGAAAUUCGUAGAUAUUGGGAGGAACACCUGUGGCGAAGGCGACUUUCUGGACCGAUACUGACGCUGAGACGCGAAAGCGUGGGGAGCAAACAGGAUUAGAUACCCGCGUA
RNAcentral lists this ribosomal RNA (269 nucleotides) under uncultured prokaryote. Its description in RNAcentral is "partial 16S ribosomal RNA". It matches the Rfam family "Bacterial small subunit ribosomal RNA", at positions 524 to 792 of the family's 1533-position model. The record is from RNAcentral.